UUUCCAAGUGUUGAGUUCAGUUCAGGGCCUCUUCCCUGUUCUGUUAAUUAAACUUUGGGACAUUGAAAGGGACUAGAAGAUAGAACUGGAGAGAGAGAUGGUGGAUCAACAGGCUAAUCUA
RNAcentral lists this small nucleolar RNA (121 nucleotides) under Ochotona princeps (American pika). The record is from RNAcentral. Lineage: Eukaryota; Metazoa; Chordata; Mammalia; Lagomorpha; Ochotonidae.